AUUGAACGCUGGCGGCAUGCUUUACACAUGCAAGUCGAACGGCAGCGCGGGCUUCGGCCUGGCGGCGAGUGGCGAACGGGUGAGUAAUGCAUCGGAACGUGCCCAGUAGUGGGGGAUAGCCCGGCGAAAGCCGGAUUAAUACCGCAUACGACCUGAGGGUGAAAGCGGGGGACCGAAAGGCCUCGCGCUAUUGGAGCGGCCGAUGUCGGAUUAGCUAGUUGGUGGGGUAAAGGCUUACCAAGGCGACGAUCCGUAGCUGGUCUGAGAGGACGACCAGCCACACUGGGACUGAGACACGGCCCAGACUCCUACGGGAGGCAGCAGUGGGGAAUUUUGGACAAUGGGGGCAACCCUGAUCCAGCCAUGCCGCGUGCGGGAAGAGGGCCUUCGGGUUGUAAACCGCUUUUGUUCGGGAAGAAAUCCUCUGGGCUAAUACCCCGGGGGGAUGACGGUACCGGAAGAAUAAGCACCGGCUAACUACGU
This 483-nucleotide ribosomal RNA is filed under the name uncultured bacterium. RNAcentral describes it as "partial 16S ribosomal RNA". It matches the Rfam family "Bacterial small subunit ribosomal RNA", at positions 28 to 506 of the family's 1533-position model. The record is from RNAcentral.